RNAcentral lists this ribosomal RNA (440 nucleotides) under uncultured bacterium. RNAcentral's name for it is "partial 16S ribosomal RNA". It matches the Rfam family "Bacterial small subunit ribosomal RNA", at positions 338 to 795 of the family's 1533-position model. The record is from RNAcentral.
CCUACGGGUGGCAGCAGUGGGGAAUAUUGCACAAUGGGGGGAACCCUGAUGCAGCAACGCCGCGUGGGUGAAGAAGUACUUCGGUAUGUAAAGCCCUGUUAGCAGGGAAGCAAAUGACGGUACCUGACCAAGAAGCCCCGGCUAACUACGUGCCAGCAGCCGCGGUAAUACGUAGGGGGCAAGCGUUAUCCGGAUUUACUGGGGGUAAAGGGAGCGUAGUCGGCAAGGCAAGUCUGGAGUGAAAGCCCAGGGCCCAACCACGGGACUGCUGUGGAAACUGUGUUGCUGGAGUGCAGGAGAGGUAAGCGGAAUGCCUGGUGUAGCGGUGAAAUGCGUAGAUAUUAGGAGGAACACCGGUUGCGAAGGCGGCUUACUGGACCGUAACUGACGCUGAGGCUCGAAGGCGUGGGGAGCAAACAGGAUUAGAUACCCCUGUAGUC